Molecule: ribosomal RNA, 318 nt
Filed under: Vibrio parahaemolyticus
Lineage: Bacteria; Pseudomonadati; Pseudomonadota; Gammaproteobacteria; Vibrionales; Vibrionaceae
Description: partial 23S ribosomal RNA
Rfam family: Bacterial large subunit ribosomal RNA
Source: RNAcentral
GGCGAGGCCGAAAGGCGUAGUCGAUGGGAAACAGGUUAAUAUUCCUGUACUUGGUGUUACUGCGAAGGGGGGACGGAGAAGGCUAUGUUAGCCGGGCGACGGUUGUCCCGGUUUAAGCAUGUAGGCUGAUUAUCCAGGCAAAUCCGGAUAAUCAAGGCUGAGGUGUGAUGACGAGGCACUACGGUGCUGAAGUAACAAAUGCCCUGCUUCCAGGAAAAGCCUCUAAGCAUCAGGUAACAUCAAAUCGUACCCCAAACCGACACAGGUGGUCAGGUAGAGAAUACCAAGGCGCUUGAGAGAACUCGGGUGAAGGAACUA